UAGGGGUUACCGGAACAAAUGGUGGAGCGGUGAAAUGCGUAGAUAUCAUUUGGAACGCCAAUGGCGAAACAGGUAACUGGGGGACAUGCUGACACUGAGACACGAAAGCCAGGGGAGCAAACGGGAUUAGAUACCCCGGUAGUCCUGGCCCUAAACGAUGUCCACUAGAUCGUAGUCGCUCUGACGUGAUUAUGGUCGAAGCAAAAGUGCUAAGUGGACCGCCUGGGAAGUACGGUCGCAAGGCUAAAACUCAAAGGAAUUGACGGGGGCUCACACAAGCGGUGGAGCAUGUGGUUCAAUUCGAAGCAACGCGCAGAACCUUACCUGGGCUUGACUCGCUCGGAUUAUCUCUAUGAAAGUAGAGUAGGCUCUUCGGGGUACAACGAGUACAGGUGCUGCAUGGCUGUCGUCAGCUCGUGUCGUGAGAUGUCGGGUUAAGUCCCUUAACGAGCGAAACCUUUACCCUUAGUUGCCAUCAUUAAGUUGGGAACUCUAAGGGGACUGCCGGUGUCAAACCGGAGGAAGGUGGAGAUGACGUCAAGUCCUCAUGGCCUUUAUGCCCAGGGCCACACACGUGCUACAAUGGCGUUCAUAAAGCGACCCUAAACAGCAAUGUCAUGGAAAUCGCAAAAAUAACGCCCCAGUUCAGAUUGGAGGCUGCAACUCGCCUCCAUGAAGUUGGAAUCGCUAGUAAUCGCGGAUCAGCUACGCCGCGGUGAAUGUGUUCCUGAGCCUUGUACACACCGCCCGUCAAGUCAUGGGAGCCGGAAAUAGCCGAAGUGGCCACAACACAGUGGUCCCUACGCUAGGUUCGGUGACUGGGACUAAGUCGUAACAAGGUAACC
Molecule: ribosomal RNA, 845 nt
Filed under: uncultured Planctomycetota bacterium
Lineage: Bacteria; Pseudomonadati; Planctomycetota
Description: bacterial SSU rRNA
Rfam family: Bacterial small subunit ribosomal RNA
Source: RNAcentral